UCCUGGCCUCAAGCUAUCCUCCUGCUUUAGCCUCCCAAGGUGCUGGGAUUGCAGGCGUGAGCCACGGUGCCCACCCAUUCGUUACAAUUGAAUCCAUUACUGUGGCCUCAUCAUCUAUUUGCCAAGUUGUUGCCUUGUAAUCAGACCUUCCUGGAAGUAAGAUGACCCGAAGAUUCAGAUUGCUUCACCACUUUAAUCAGAUUUUUCAUGAAUUGAUUAAUCACUCUUAGGACCACAUCCCUUACGUUUUGGCUAGGAAUGACAUGCCUUCAUGCAUUCCACUACAGCUACAAAUAAACUUCCAGUUCCUUCAACACUUGGUCCUCUUCCUUCAAUAUCCGUUAUUAAGAACACCUCCAAAACUCAGCCUUGAAUCCCUGAAGCUAGUUUACAUUUUGCCUUCUUCCUCAAUUACACGCUUACUCAGUUGCUUAGGCUACUUGGAUCUGCUUGUAGUCUUUCUCAUCCAUAGUUGCUUUCCUCUCUCUCCAUGCCUGCUUUAGUUCCAUCCUUCUUCCAGGACUCCUAAGUAAGCUUUAUUUAUUUAUUUAUUUAUUUAUUUAUUUUUGUUAUUUUUGUUUCUACCAAAUUGACAUUUCUAUCCUAAGUAAGCUUUAGAAUGACACUGUGUCUUCUAUCUUUUCUCCUUAGAUUGCCAGAUGUUUCUUUCGGUAUUAGAACUGCUGAUCCUUCCUCUCCGUUCUAAAUUUGCAACAUUAACUACUCAUAACUACGAGUGGUUUAUUUACCUUUCAAUAUUAGGACUUAAAAGAUAAACUGACUUAAAGUAAUACAGGAACUUUUUAAAGACUGGCACUUUAUAGUUUAUUGGGUGCAACUGGAAAAGCUCCUCACAGCUAUGCCAUCUUGUAAUUAAAUGUUUCUGUUAUUUUGGAAGUGCUACAAGAGGUUCUGAGUCAUACAUUGGAUAAUAAAAUGUUAGAGCAAACAUUUAUACACUUAGGCAAAUACUGUGCUUGGAUGGAAUAUUCUUAAAAUCUCUUCCUGCUAAAUCAACUAAUCUUUUGAUCUCCUUUUUUUUUUUUUCCUCAUACUCUACCUUUUUCCCUGGUUCUGAUAAAAUGAAGCUUUUAAUACGGUUACCUUUGUAGUCGGUGCCUCAUUGCUUAGCCCUGUGGAGUUAAUGAGGCCAAGGAUACUGGUUUGAUUUCCCCGUGGAUCAGUUUCUUCUUGUUCUGCUCGUGUGUAGUCACAGACUGUCCUUCAAACCAGGGCCAACCAUUUCACAAAUGUCAG
Non-coding RNA from Microcebus murinus (gray mouse lemur), 1257 nucleotides. The record is from RefSeq and is a predicted model, not a curated record. NCBI's taxonomy places the organism in Eukaryota, Metazoa, Chordata, Mammalia, Primates, Cheirogaleidae.